GUGCCAGCCGCCGCGGUAAGACGUAGGUGGCAAGCGUUAUCCGGAUUUACUGGGCGUAAAGCGUACGUAGGCGGCGCCGUUAGUCUGCCGUGAAAUCUCCCGGCUCAACCGGGAGCGGCCGGUGGAAACUGCGGCGCUGGAGGGGCGUAGAGGCAAGCGGAAUUCCCGGAGUAGUGGUGGAAUGCGUAGAUACCGGGAGGAACACCAGUGGCGCAAGCGGCUUGCCAGACGCAUCCUGACGCUGAGGUACGAAAGCGUGGGUAGCGAACCGGAUUAGAUACCCGGGUAGUCCACGCCGUAAACGAUGGAUGCUAGUCGUGGGGGGUAUCGACCCCCUCUGUGACGCAGCUAACGCAAUAAGCAUCCCGCCUGGGGAGUACGGCCGCAAGGCUAAAACUCAAAUAAAUUGACGG
RNAcentral lists this ribosomal RNA (413 nucleotides) under uncultured bacterium. RNAcentral's name for it is "bacterial SSU rRNA". It matches the Rfam family "Bacterial small subunit ribosomal RNA", at positions 505 to 916 of the family's 1533-position model. The record is from RNAcentral.